UGGGGAAUAUUGGUCAAUGGGCGCAAGCCUGACCUAGCCAUGCCGCGUGUGUGAAGAAGGCCUUUUGGUUGUAAAGCACUUUAAUCGAGGAGGAGGCUACUUGGAUUAAUACUAUAGGAUAGUGGACGUUACUCGCAGAAUAAGCACCGGCUAACUCUGUGCCAGCAGCCGCGGUAAUACAGAGGGGGCGAGCGUUAAUCGGAUUUACUGGGCGUAAAGCGUGCGUAGGCGGCUUUUUAAGUCGGAUGUGAAAUCCCUGAGCUUAACUUAGGAAUUGCAUUCGAUACGGGGAAGCUAGAGUAUGGGAGAGGAUGGUAGAAUUCCAGGUGUAGCGGUGAAAUGCGUAGAGAUCUGGAGGAAUACCGAUGGCGAAUGCAGCCAUCUGGCCUAAUACUGACGCUGAGGUACGAAAGCAUGGGGAGCAAACAGG
RNAcentral lists this ribosomal RNA (430 nucleotides) under Acidobacteriota bacterium. RNAcentral's name for it is "Acidobacteria bacterium partial 16S ribosomal RNA". It matches the Rfam family "Bacterial small subunit ribosomal RNA", at positions 355 to 776 of the family's 1533-position model. Lineage: Bacteria; Pseudomonadati; Acidobacteriota. The record is from RNAcentral.